RNAcentral lists this ribosomal RNA (384 nucleotides) under uncultured bacterium. Its description in RNAcentral is "bacterial SSU rRNA". It matches the Rfam family "Bacterial small subunit ribosomal RNA", at positions 30 to 418 of the family's 1533-position model. The record is from RNAcentral.
AUUGAACGCUGGCGGCAUGCUUUACACAUGCAAGUCGAACGGGCUGGGGGCAACUCCAGUCAGUGGCGAACGGGUGAGUAAUACAUCGGAACGUACCUCGUAGUGGGGGAGUAACUUGGCGAAAGCCGUGCUAAUACCGCAUAUGCUCUACGGAGGAAAGCAGGGGACCGCAAGGCCUUGUGCUAUGGGAGCGGCCGAUGUCCGAUUAGCUAGUUGGUGAGGUAAUGGCUCACCAAGGCGACGAUCGGUAGCUGGUCUGAGAGGAUGAUCAGCCACACUGGGACUGAGACACGGCCCAGACUCCUACGGGAGGCAGCAGUGGGGAAUAUUGCACAAUGGGCGAAAGCCUGAUGCAGCGAACGCCGCGUGAGGGAUGACUGCCUU